GCCGAUAUAGCUCAGUAGGUAGAGCAACUCAUUCGUAAUGAGAAGGUCGCAAGUUCAAUUCCUGCUAUCGGCAUCA
RNAcentral lists this transfer RNA (76 nucleotides) under Gammaproteobacteria bacterium. RNAcentral describes it as "tRNA-Thr". It matches the Rfam family "tRNA". From Rfam's summary of the family: Transfer RNA (tRNA) molecules are approximately 80 nucleotides in length. Their secondary structure includes four short double-helical elements and three loops (D, anti-codon, and T loops). Lineage: Bacteria; Pseudomonadati; Pseudomonadota; Gammaproteobacteria. The record is from RNAcentral.